GCGUGCGUCUCCUGGGCUCCCGCGGUUGCCUUGACUACGGAGGGCGCGGUGGAACGGCGGAAGCUGCGAGUUUCUAGGAGCCGAGGAGCCGGGAGCAUGAGGACAUGGUGUCUGUGUCAGAUUUGUACUUGCGGGUUGUCAAGUUGCUAAGCAACACAAGGUCUCAAGCAGUUGGAAUAUUGAUGUCUAGCCUUCACCUAGACAUGAAAGAUAUACAACAUAGAGGAGGUUGCUGAGAAGCGAGAGCGUGCAAGAUGAAGGCAUGCAGAGAAGUUGGCAGUGGCGCAGGGCCAGGCACCCAUGGAGCCCACCCAAGAUGCAGGCACCCUUGAAAUGAGUCCACAGGGAGAAGAGCCAAAAGGUGCCAUUAGGCUUCUCAGCUCCAUUAGAGGACCUUCCCACGCUCCCCCACGUGGCGUACCACACGUUGGAAAACCUGUACCUUCUGAUGGGAAGGGAACUGGAAGACCUCGAGGAGGUGCCUCCAGGAAACGUGCUAGAUAGGGUGGUGCUGUGUGUCACAUCUGAGCUCCGUUCCGAGACGCGGCCUGACAUGUCACCCGAAGCACGUGAGAUCUCUGAGGGAAGUGACUUGGAUCUCAUUCUUGUUUUUUUGUUUGUUUAUUUUGGGUUGUGUCCUUUGGUUUUAACCUAGUGCAUCUCAGUAUCAGCAUGUACAGUAGUGCUGUGCUGCGCUUAGUCGCUCAGUCAUGUCUGACUCUUUGUGACCCCGUGGACUGGAGCCCACCACGCUCUAUCCACGGGGAUUCUCCAGGCAAGAGUACUGGAGUGGGUUGCCAUAUCCUUCUCCAGGGGUUCUUCCUAACACAGGGAUUGAACCCAGGUCUUCGUCAUUGCAGGAGGAUUCUUUACUGUCUAAGCCAGCAGGGAGGCCCAAGAAUAUUGGAGUAUGCAGCCUAUCCCUUCUCCAGGGGAUCUUCCUGACUCAGGAAUGGAACUGGGGUUUUCUGCAUUGCAGGCAGAUUUUUUUUUACCAGCUGAGCUACCAGGGAAGCCCAUGUACAGCAGUAACUUGCUGUAAAUUAUGUUAGAAAAGAAAAAAAAAAGUAACUGCUUAAGAAAUCUGUGAAUAAACUGAGGUUCCAUUCAUUUGGGGAUGAGAAAGAAUUUCUGCUCACAGUAAAGUCGGUUCAGAUGAAUAAGACACUUCUGGUUUUAAAGUAUCAGAAACUAUUCUGAUAUAAGGGUCUGUCUUCUUCCAGGAUUUUUUAAUUCAUUGAAUGUUGUUUUAUAUUAUAAAUCCAUACAUACUGUUCCUCAUCUCCAUAAUGUUCAUUACUUCUUUGCGGACUUCACUUUUAAAGGUCCUCAGUGCAACCUUGAAGACUCAGAUGAAGGAAUUUCCCUUGGAUCGUCAUAGUCACUCUGAGUGUGAUAUGGAAUGCUGGGUCCUGUUCUGAACCCUUGGAGAACUUGUCAGAUGUAGAGCUAUUUACGGGGGGACUCCUUGGGCUCCAGCUUCUUUUUAUGUUUUAGAGAAAUGGUCUAGACUGCUGGUCUGGAGCUGCUGGGUUUUGUCCACUUUAGUCCAAGAAAUUUGCGUUUUGAUGCUCCCUUGCAGAAAUACAUUAUUAAAACUUUUUUUUUCAUUGCUUUUUUGGGGGGCAUGAAUUUGUAGCCUCUCCUCAGUGUUACCCAUUCUUUUCACCUCCUUUGGAAAAUGCUGUUGAACCCUAACAAUUGACAUGACUUAUGAGCUUCCAUAACCAGCAAAACAUUUUUUAUCAGGAAGGACAUGGGAAGAUGAAUAGAAAGCACUCUGUUUUUGUUUAUAAGCCUUCCUUGUGAUUCCUGUGUUCCUCACACUCAAUUACUUUUGUUUCUUAAAUGGAAGGUGAGGUGGAAGAUCUCUAACACAACGUUCAAGUGAAAAGAGAAGUACUCAAUAAGUGUUCAGCGUGUGGUUUCUGUCGUAUGCCCUCCAGUUAAGGGUCGUUGUUUGUGCUCUUUCCCCAGCAGAGGUCAGGAACAUGACGUGCAGCGGUUCUGGUUUCCUUCUGCCUAUUUCUAGGUUGCCGUGUGCUGCUCAGCCCUGAGGCCAGCCGUGUUAUGUCUCUCUCAUCUGCCUCCCAAGGCAGCCGUAACCCUGCUGUCUGCAGGAGACCUACCACACAUUCAAGCUUUCUUCAUCUUGGAGAAGAGAGAAAUACCUCAUUCUCUUUUACUCAUCUUUUGAAGUUAUUUGGGAGCAGUGGUAGGAGCUAGGGUGUUGGUAAAGGUGCCCGUUGGUUAAGCAUUUGUUUACCAAAUUCAGUUGUUAAAAAAAUAAGAUGGACACAUAACUUUGGGACAAAAUGAAUUAAAGAGAAAAGUGAGAUAUAUUUUGUAGAAGCAUUAGGGUUGUAUUUAACUGCCAGUGAUCAAAAACCAACUGCACAGUCUUCAGUUCCCCUCAAUGGGAAGAUUAGGGUAGAGGACGGAAAGUUGAGGACUGGUGCUGUGGCUGUCUUAUGUCAUCAGGGAGCAGGGUGCCUCUCUUCACCUGUUCGCAGUCCUAGGCAUGGCGCUUUGUCCCCAUGGAACCAAGAUGGCAUCUGCAUCGACAUUGCUGGCAGGAAGAGGGCACACGGGCCAAAGCCCUUCUCAUAGCACUGAUGUUUCAUUUAUUUUUGUGGUCAUUAGUUUAUUUAUUUUGGAUGAUUUGGUUGAUGUUACUUUAAAACCCUUUGGCAGUGACCACCCCAUAUAUGGUCUAUUAGACAGAUAUCUAAAAUAUCUCUUACUAAGAAGUGCUCAUAAAUAGAGGCUUUAUACAUCUCUCCUAAAUAUCAGUUGUCAUGUGUGUUCUGAUUAUUCCAUUAUGCCAGCUUUCACCUCUCUCAGAAGGGGACUAGAAACUAAGAUAUGUUCGGGAUGAAGAGGUCUGGUUUGCUCUGUGGAGUGAUGAGGAAGUUCAGCGAUUUGGAUGUGGGAAGUGUGGGCAGGUGUGAAGCGGAGCUGGUGUUCAGCCAGCAGCCACUGGUGCCAGUCUUAAUGUAUGGAAACACCACAACCUGAGGUUGGAAUAAGUAGGCACUGCUCCCCGACCCCCACUGCCUGGCACCUUUUUUCCCCCUGGACUUCCCCAUAAUCCAGAGCUAAAGGGUUAAAUCUGGCACAUCUGGUGUCCCUGUUGAGCAAGCACUGGUAUUUUUAUUUGGGAAGAAAUGCCCUGUUAGUGACCAAUGUAUUAUAUAUAUCCUCGCUUCUUUGUGAUUUUGUCAUGUGGUCACCCCUAGCUGCAGUGAAAGCCAAAGGUUGAGUCUCUACAAUAAGGCAGGGGAUAUGGGAUGGUGAAUGGUUUUUGAAGAGCUUGUCCACACUCUCAAUCACAUUUCCUCCACAUUUGCCUGGUGUUGCCUAAAGCCCCUUCAUUACGGUUCUGUUUCUUUACAUUAGGGAGGAAGAGAAGUCUGCCAGAAUGAUUAUAAGUGCAACAUUGAAGGGAUUGGGAUCCAGCCAGCCACUUCAGCUUACCUUCUAAAUUGAAGCAUACAGAAAUUGUUUUCUGUCUAUUAACCUAGAUCUAUUCGAGCCCUGUGCUUGACUAUAAAGCAUGAGUUUACCAAAAUUCUGCUCAUAGUUCUGCCACUAACUAGUAUAUGGCCUCAGACCAACUGUAUAACCUUUCUGGUCCCCAGCUUUCCAAAAUAAUUUGGACUAGAGUAAUUUUUACUAACAAUCUUAUUGUAAAAAUAGAACAGCUACUU
Molecule: long non-coding RNA, 3710 nt
Organism: Dama dama (fallow deer)
Lineage: Eukaryota; Metazoa; Chordata; Mammalia; Artiodactyla; Cervidae
Exons: 4
Source: RefSeq, a predicted model, not a curated record